UAACUAGGAUUAGAUACCCUAUUAUUAAAAAAUUAAAGAAAUAAUACUAAAAGAGUAAGUAAAAUUUUAUUGAAACUUAAAUAACUUGGCGGUAUUUUAGUUCAUUCAGAGGAAUCUGUUUAUUAAUUGAUAAUCCACGAAUAAAUUUACUUAAUUUAUUAUUUUGUAUAUCGUUGUUUAAAAAAUAUUUUUUAAUAAUUAAUAAUAUUUUAAAUUUUAAAUAAAAAAUUAAAUCAGAUCAAGAUGCAGAUUAUAAUUAAGAAUAUAAUGGAUUACAAUAAAUUUAUUUAUUAUGAAUUUUAAGUAGAAUAAUUUAAUUGAAAGUGGAUUUGAAUGUAAUUUUAUUUAAAUUAAUAAGAUGAUUUAUAAUUAAAAUAUGUACAUAU
This 386-nucleotide ribosomal RNA is filed under the name Samia ricini (Indian eri silkmoth). RNAcentral's name for it is "partial 12S ribosomal RNA". The record is from RNAcentral. Lineage: Eukaryota; Metazoa; Arthropoda; Insecta; Lepidoptera; Saturniidae.